This 2041-nucleotide long non-coding RNA is filed under the name Catharus ustulatus (Swainson's thrush). Its description in RNAcentral is "lncRNA (ENSCUSG00005006757.1)". The record is from RNAcentral. Lineage: Eukaryota; Metazoa; Chordata; Aves; Passeriformes; Turdidae.
AUUGCUAAGCAUUCAAACAGUCCCACUCUGGUCUCUGGAAUCACUAUGUGUUGAAGGAUGUGUUUUGCUACUCUAAUUAUGGGUUGAAACUCUUAAAAAAAUGCUUGCCAAAAGCAGAACAUCUACCAGUCCACUUCAAUCUUCACACUAUACUUUUUUGAAGAGAACUGGCAUAGCUUUUGCUUUUUCUGUGCUCUUUUUCAUAGCUAUUAGCUAAAUUCUAAAUGGAAUUCGCAAAAUUUGGAUUGCCUUCCUGCAGCUGAGAUGUAUUUAAAAAUUAAUUAAACUGGCAGUUUCUGAUUGCCAGCUAAAACACAUUUAAUCACAUUUUCAUUCAAUUUCAAAAGAUGGAGUUCCUUUCUGACAGCUUGUCACCUAAUGCAUUCCACCAGAUGAGCAAAUAAAAUUUGUUUUAUCUUUCUAAGGAUAUGCAUUGAUCUGACUUGCAGUGUUUCUGUUUGAAAUCUUGCCUGUCUUUGACUUAGAGACUGCUGCUCACACUCAGUAUUUGAUCAGAAUUUUAACCUAGUGGAUGUGUAUGGCAACUUUGAAUUUCUGUGGAACCAGGAUUUUAUUCACAAGUUUCAUACUCUUAUCUAUGAGAUUAUUUUCACUCCUUUUCUGCUUUCUUUCUCCCUUUUUUUCUUUUUCCUUCCUUAAGCCGCUUCAAAGUUUCUCCUGAGACGUUGCGGUUGCUUUGGAGGCAGUCAGCUGCGGCACAUUUUGCUCGGGGGAGGUGAGGGGAGGUGGAGGGAGAAAAGAAAAAAAAAAAACCAAAAAAGAGAGAGAAAGAAAAAAAGACUACCACAAAAUGAUCCAAACCGAUCAACCAAAACAUUGCCAUGUGCUCCGUGGCAGUAGGGGAGGGGCCGAGAGCAUCAGGCAGCGGCAAGUCGCAGGUGGGGAAAACAGCAUCUCGUCGCAGUCUGGGCAAAGCACAGGCUCUCCCUCCUCCGGGUGAGGCCCGGCUGGGGUAAGCACGACUUUCCUCGCAACCUGAGAGCCACGGACAGAAGCAGGCAGUGUCCUGAGGGUUCUUCUUGCCCGACCUGGCCGGUCCGCGGGGCGGAUCUGUAAGCCUCCGCCCGCAAAGAGUCCCCCCUCUGCCGCUAGCCCAGUUGCUUGGCCCGGGGAAACCCGGUGUACUUCCCCUUCCCUGCCUGGCCCGGGGCUGAGGCAGGACUGAGUUGCCCGCCGCAAAGCCCCUCUGCCCGUCCUGUCCCUACCCCUCCGCUGCUGUGCCCAUGCCUGUUCCUCCGGCUGCGGCCGGGCCCCGGGGCCGCUUUCGGCCCGGGGACGAGGGAGGAGGGAAAGGAGCCGGCCCGGACACCGGCACUGGGCCGGCUGCUGCUCACCCCUGCGACGGGUUGCCUGGAAUGAAUGCUUGACCAAAUAUACAUAUAUAUUUUUCCUGUUUAUUUUUGUGUAAUCUGUGUUGCUUGUAAGUAAAAGGGAAUGUGAAAUAUGUGUGUCACGUGAAUGUAAGUGUCCAGUAAUUUCUGAACUUCAACCGCUUACAUUAAACGAAAAUAGUGGUUUUGACAACCUUCGAUAUGUAGCUGGUUUUCUGAAAAUCUUAUCUGGCCUCAUUUUCGCAAUUAAAGUGAUCUUUCAUCUUAUCUCUUCUUUGAUCACUCCUAACCACAAGUGUUCUACAUGUUCUCUAAGUGUCGGAGUGUCAGAGGAGUUAGCCUAGAGCAAUUAGGGACACGAAACUUCUCCUGAGCGCUCAGGUGCCCGGUGGCUUUAGUAACACCUCGCUCCGCGAGUGAGCCUGGACAGAGCUGCCGGGCACCCCGGGGCAGGGAGCGGAGACGGGAGGGCCCUAAGCACCGGCGGUGCGGGGGGAUUGCGGCUGUGCCCACCGCAGGAGGGGCUUGCUCCUCAGCGCCUCCUUGAAUCCUCCGACUUCACGUCGGCUCCUGAGCGCUUUGUCUUUUUCCAAAUAUCUUUAAUUUUUUUCUUUGUCCCUUUUUUUUUUCUUUCUCUCUCUCUCUUUUUUUUUUUUUUUUAAAUUUAUUUUUUUAUUUGUAAACCUUCC